CCGCGUGACACGGGGUGCUGCCCGCGGGCAGCUGAGAACACACCCGUCGAACCUGAUCCAGUUAAUGCUGGCGAAGGGAAUGUCCACUGCCCCGCCG
RNAcentral lists this non-coding RNA (97 nucleotides) under Corynebacterium marinum. Its description in RNAcentral is "TPP sequence". It matches the Rfam family "TPP riboswitch aptamer (THI element)". Rfam says of the family: Vitamin B(1) in its active form thiamin pyrophosphate (TPP) is an essential coenzyme that is synthesised by coupling of pyrimidine and thiazole moieties in bacteria. The record is from RNAcentral. RNAcentral also lists the same sequence under 1 other name. Lineage: Bacteria; Bacillati; Actinomycetota; Actinomycetes; Mycobacteriales; Corynebacteriaceae.